GAUGAAGAACGUAGCGAAAUGCGAUAAGUAAUGUGAAUUGCAGAAUUCAGUGAAUCAUCGAAUCUUUGAACGCACAUUGCUCCCGCUGGUAUUCCGGCGGGCAUGCCUGUUCGAGCGUCAUUUCAACCCUCAAGCUCUCCGGAGUUUGGUGUUGGGGCGCCUGGGGCUUUUCGACCUCAGGGCCCUCAAGUCCAUCGGCGGGACCGCCAGGACACUGAGCGCAGUAGUAUUAUUUCGCUCGGUAGGAUCUUCCACGGCGGGUCGAUCUGGCCGCUAAACCCCCCAAUUCUCACCAAAGGUUGACCUCGGAUCAGGUAGGAAUACCCGCUGAACUUAAGCAUAUCAAUAAGCGGAGGA
This 357-nucleotide unclassified non-coding RNA is filed under the name soil metagenome. Its description in RNAcentral is "partial contains 5.8S ribosomal RNA, internal transcribed spacer 2, and large subunit ribosomal RNA". The stretch from base 1 to 120 matches the Rfam family "5.8S ribosomal RNA", at positions 35 to 154 of the family's 154-position model. The record is from RNAcentral.